Molecule: ribosomal RNA, 311 nt
Filed under: uncultured Archaeospora
Lineage: Eukaryota; Fungi; Glomeromycota; Glomeromycetes; Archaeosporales; Archaeosporaceae
Description: SSU rRNA
Rfam family: Eukaryotic small subunit ribosomal RNA
Source: RNAcentral
GCAGCCGCGGUAAUUCCAGCUCCAAUAGCGUAUAUUAAAGUUGUUGCAGUUAAAAAGCUCGUAGUUGAAUUUUAGGCCUGGCCGGGCGGUCCGUCUUUGGCGAGUACUGUUCUGUGUCGGGUCUUACCUUCUGGUGAACCGGCACGUUCUUUUAUCGCGUGUGCCGUGGGAACCAGGACCAUUACCUUGAAAAAAUUAGAGUGUUUAAAGCGGGCUUUUGCUUGAAUAGAUUAGCAUGGAAUAAUAAAAUAGGACGUUGGUUCUAUUUUGUUGGUCUAGGACCACCGUAAUGAUUAAUAGGGAUAGUUGGG